CCGGUACCACGCAUGCGCGGGAGACGUCACUUCUGCUAAAACGGUUUGUUUACGAUGGUUGCUGUUUUUUCUUUUUCUGUGACAGACCAUGGCCUCAGAAAGACGCAUCCGCUGAAUUUGGACAGCCAUAGCAUAGGUGAAGUUUCUAGAAGAAAAGUUCCAGAACAGUUUCUGCCAGAAUAACAGAGGGCAUCUCUACGAGGAAGUACAACGGAGACUAAAGUCCUUUGGAGGAGCCUUUUUUCCUGGAUCUGCUGCAUCAGCCUGACUGGUUGUUGAGGAGAGGAGCCGUGAUUCGUGCCUGAAGUGUCGGGCUGAUGAGCUGCAGAACAACAUCCAGAAGGAGCAUCAAGCAUUCUGUCAACUCCAAACACCAAGUUAAUAUUCAAUCAAAACUGUGGUUUAAAGUGUU
Long non-coding RNA from Oryzias melastigma (Indian medaka), 412 nucleotides. RefSeq lists it as uncharacterized. The transcript is spliced from 3 exons. NCBI's taxonomy places the organism in Eukaryota, Metazoa, Chordata, Actinopteri, Beloniformes, Adrianichthyidae. The record is from RefSeq and is a predicted model, not a curated record.